AGAUGGGGGGAGUAAAAUAUAGAGAAUAUCCUCUUCCUCCCUCACCACUCCAUGUGGGUCCCUCUCCAAGCUAGGCAAUCGGCGUAAGAGGACCACCACCCCCAACAGAGGAGGACAGUUUCCUGGGUCGAGGAUAUCCAAGGAGCUGUGCUCCCAGCUAGAGCCUCCAAACAAGCUCUAAAACAGUGGAGUACAUAGUCCUUUAAAUAUCCAACAGAUGGCAAUUUUAAUUGGAGAAGUGCUACAUUUAAAAUAUG
Unclassified non-coding RNA from Fukomys damarensis (Damara mole-rat), 257 nucleotides. Its record names the gene 7SK. It matches the Rfam family "7SK RNA". From Rfam's summary of the family: 7SK was discovered as an abundant small nuclear RNA in the mid-70s but a possible function has only recently been suggested. Two independent studies have found that 7SK RNA binds the CDK9/cyclin T complex (known as elongation factor P-TEFb). The record is from Ensembl. NCBI's taxonomy places the organism in Eukaryota, Metazoa, Chordata, Mammalia, Rodentia, Bathyergidae.